AAACCUGAGAAACCCAAAAGAUCGAAUGGGGAGAUUCAUCGUCAGCGAUUCUGGCUUCCGUGUGGUAGGCGAUAUUUCGGGACUUCGGUCUCGGGGCACGCUGCCACUGCGGUAUGUCUGGAGUCGUCGGCGUGCACUUCUCCCCUAGUAGGACGUCGCGACCCGUUGGGUGCCGGCCUACGGCCCGGUUGGUCGACUGUCGCGUCGCGUUUACGUGCACGCUACAGACCACCGGUCGCCCGGCCGGCUGCCCGGCGGUAUAGAACGCAUUGAAACGGUAUUGGGCCGCACAUUUGUGCGUCCCGGCUCGUCGGCAGGCUCGCCUCGCUCGGAUCUACGGACCUAGUGCCGUAGCCGGGUGCUUGGUGUGGUCGUUAGUCGACGAUGUCCUCGGACCGGCUCUUACCGGUCGGCGACGCUACUGCUUUGGGUACUUU
RNAcentral lists this ribosomal RNA (437 nucleotides) under Monodontomerus sp. LK-2005. RNAcentral describes it as "eukaryotic LSU rRNA". The record is from RNAcentral. Lineage: Eukaryota; Metazoa; Arthropoda; Insecta; Hymenoptera; Torymidae.